Molecule: microRNA precursor, 89 nt
Organism: Cavia porcellus (domestic guinea pig)
Lineage: Eukaryota; Metazoa; Chordata; Mammalia; Rodentia; Caviidae
Gene: MIR129-2
Product: microRNA 129-2
Source: Ensembl
UGCCUUUCGCGAAUCUUUUUGCGGUCUGGGCUUGCUGUACAUUACUCAUAGCCGGAAGCCCUUACCCCAAAAAGCAUUCGCGGAGGGCG